RNAcentral lists this ribosomal RNA (497 nucleotides) under uncultured bacterium. RNAcentral's name for it is "partial 16S ribosomal RNA". It matches the Rfam family "Bacterial small subunit ribosomal RNA", at positions 28 to 507 of the family's 1533-position model. The record is from RNAcentral.
GAUGAACGCUGGCGGCGUGCCUAAUACAUGCAAGUCGAGCGAACGGACGAGAAGCUUGCUUUUCUGAUGUUAGCGGCGGACGGGUGAGUAACACGUGGAUAACCUACCUAUAAGACUGGGAUAACUUCGGGAAACCGGAGCUAAUACCGGAUAAUAUUUUGAACCGCAUGGUUCAUAAGUGAAAGACGGUCUUGCUGUCACUUAUAGAUGGAUCCGCGCUGCAUUAGCUAGUUGGUAAGGUAACGGCUUACCAAGGCAACGAUGCAUAGCCGACCUGAGAGGGUGAUCGGCCACACUGGAACUGAGACACGGUCCAGACUCCUACGGGAGGCAGCAGUAGGGAAUCUUCCGCAAUGGGCGAAAGCCUGACGGAGCAACGCCGCGUGAGUGAUGAAGGUCUUCGGAUCGUAAAACUCUGUUAUUAGGGAAGAACAUAUGUGUAAGUAGCUGUGCACAUCUUGACGGUACCUAAUCAGAAAGCCACGGCUAACUACGUG